CGAACGGGUGAGUAACACGUGGACAACCUGCCUCAAGGCUGGGGAUAACAUUUGGAAACAGAUGCUAAUACCGAAUGAAACUUAGUGUCGCAUGACACGAAGUUAAAAGGCGCUUUGGCGUCACCUAGAGAUGGAUCCGCGGUGCAUUAGUUAGUUGGUGGGGUAAAGGCCUACCAAGACAAUGAUGCAUAGCCGAGUUGAGAGACUGAUCGGCCACAUUGGGACUGAGACACGGCCCAAACUCCAACGGGAGGCUGCAGUAGGGAAUCUUCCACAAUGGGCGAAAGCCUGAUGGAGCAACGCCGCGUGUGUGAUGAAGGCUUUCGGGUCGUAAAGCACUGUUGUAUGGGAAGAACAGCUAGAAUAGGGAAUGAUUUUAGUUUGACGGUACCAUACCAGAAAGGGACGGCUAAAUACGUGCCAGCAGCCGCGGUAAUACGUAUGUCCCGAGCGUUAUCCGGAUUUAUUGGGCGUAAAGCGAGCGCAGACGGUUGAUUAAGUCUGAUGUGAAAGCCCGGAGCUCAACUCCGGAAUGGCAUUGGAAACUGGUUAACUUGAGUGCAGUAGAGGUAAGUGGAACUCCCAUGUGUAGCGGUGGAAUGCGUAGAUAUAUGGAAGAACACCAGUGGCGAAGGCGGCUUACUGGACUGUAACUGACGUUGAGGCUCGAAAGUGUGGGUAGCAAACAG
This 689-nucleotide ribosomal RNA is filed under the name Leuconostoc mesenteroides. RNAcentral describes it as "bacterial SSU rRNA". It matches the Rfam family "Bacterial small subunit ribosomal RNA", at positions 99 to 775 of the family's 1533-position model. Lineage: Bacteria; Bacillati; Bacillota; Bacilli; Lactobacillales; Lactobacillaceae. The record is from RNAcentral.